This 289-nucleotide ribosomal RNA is filed under the name uncultured bacterium. RNAcentral describes it as "partial 16S ribosomal RNA". It matches the Rfam family "Bacterial small subunit ribosomal RNA", at positions 775 to 1067 of the family's 1533-position model. The record is from RNAcentral.
GGAUUAGAUACCCUGGUAGUCCACGCUGUAAACGAUGAUCACUCGUUGUUGGCGAUAUACUGUCAGCGACCAAGCGAAAGCAUUAAGUGAUCCACCUGGGGAGUACGAUCGCAAGGUUGAAACUCAAAGGAAUUGACGGGGGCCCGCACAAGCGGUGGAGCAUGUGGUUUAAUUCGAUGAUACGCGAGGAACCUUACCAAGGCUUAAAUGUAGAUUGACAGUUUGGGAAACCAGACCUUCUUUCGAGACAAUUUACAAGGUGCUGCAUGGUUGUCGUCAGCUCGUGCCG